Long non-coding RNA from Oncorhynchus tshawytscha (Chinook salmon), 330 nucleotides. Lineage: Eukaryota; Metazoa; Chordata; Actinopteri; Salmoniformes; Salmonidae. The record is from Ensembl.
UGAGUAGGGGCGGCAGGUAGCCUAGUGGUUAGAGAGUAGGGGCGGCAGGUAGCCUAGUGGUUAGAGAGUAGGGGCGGCAGGGUAGCCUAGUGGUUAGAGUGUAGGGGCGGCAGGUAGCCUAGUGGUUAGAGUGUAGGGGCGGCAGGUAGCCUAGUGGUUAGAGUGUAGGGGCGGCAGGUAGCCUAGUGGUUAGAGAGUAGGGGCGGCAGGUAGCCUAGUGGUUAGAGAGUAGGGGCGGCAGGUAGCCUAGUGGUUAGAGUGUAGGGGCGGCAGGUAGCCUGGUGGUUAGAGAGUAGGGGCGGCAGGUAGCCUAGUGGUUAGAGCGUUGGG